Molecule: long non-coding RNA, 321 nt
Organism: Lactuca sativa (garden lettuce)
Lineage: Eukaryota; Viridiplantae; Streptophyta; Magnoliopsida; Asterales; Asteraceae
Source: RefSeq, a predicted model, not a curated record
GGUUAUUGGAGAUCGUAAAGGUGCAGUGUUUGGUGGUUUAGUUGAGGCACCUUUGAAACCAUCAACAAAGAAAAGAUACCAGGGAUCGAAUGAUACAUUUGUGUUUACAAAUACACCAGGGCGUCCUGUUAUAUAUCGCCCCACAGGGGUGAAUCGGUAUUUUACUCUUUGUUCAACUGAGUAUUUAGCGCUUGGUGGGGGAAAUCAUUUUGCAUUGUAUCUCGAUAGUGACUUAUUGAAUGGGUCAAGUUUGGCCUCAGAAACUUAUGGUAACUCUUGUUUGUCACACACCCAAGAAUUUGAAGUGAAGGAAAUUAAGGU